RNAcentral lists this long non-coding RNA (361 nucleotides) under Lathyrus oleraceus (garden pea). Its description in RNAcentral is "Pisum sativum (pea) long non-coding RNA (PSAT_LNC035302)". The record is from RNAcentral. Lineage: Eukaryota; Viridiplantae; Streptophyta; Magnoliopsida; Fabales; Fabaceae.
GAAGAUGAAAAACUUCUCGAAAACUCUGAUGCCUGAGCAGGUCAGACAAAUUGUACAUGAUUUUGAUCUCCUCACAUUUGUCGACUAUUCACUUACCAUGCUUGACACUUCACUUCUUACAGCUUUUAUUGAGCGAUGACACAAGGAGGCAUCUUCCUUUCAUCCUCCAUUUGAAGAGAUGAUUGUCACUUUCGAUGAUGUCUCUUCAUUGUUCCAUAUCCCCAUCACCGACAAAUUCUUUACAGCUAUUGUUAUUAGCUCGUCUCUUGCAUGUUUGUCUGAUGUACGAGAUUUGGAGUUUCUGAUGAGGUCGUGUUGGAGGAGUUUGACUUUAACAGUGGCGCUUACCUUCGUAUUUCUU